GAGUUUCUCUGUGUUGGUUCCUGUAUCACUUAGACUUUAGCCAGUCCUCUAAUCACUUCUUCUGAUGCCUGAAGGAGCUUCCAAGAAGAGGCUGAAAUUGUUGGGGUUAUUGGGAGUGGAAGAAUAGUAUGGUGAAAGAAGUAGAGUCUCCAACUUUGAGGGGUUCAAACAGUAGGAAGAAGGAACCAUAGGAAUCCAACAACAGGAAUCCAGACCAAGUUUUUCAGUCAACACAGCAUCAAUGCCCCAAGGAGAAAGGAGUGAUUUUUGGCAGAGAACUCAGGGACCCAGCCCAGCAGAAGGACUCACCUGUCAGUCAGGCCACAUCUAGACAUGAACUUGAUUGUGUUGGGACAUUGAGCCUUUGCCCAGUUGCCUCAUGACAACUCCAAGCUCAUGGCAGCUAGAGCAACAUGUCCUGCCUGGCCACGUCUGAGAUUUGAUCUCAAAGUCCCAGUUGCCUUUACCUGAUGGUGGUAACUGAGCAACAAUUCUGAGGUGGACAUUUCCAGCCUGGGAGGCCACCUUGUAAGAUGGAAAGAUGCAGGGAUCCUGGAUCUUCAGUUGGUACCAACUGUACCUGUAGAUGCUCUCUCUAUAUCCAAUAUGGCAUUUUUGGAGAAGACAACGACCAUCAGGAGAAUGAAUCUGCACCUUGAUUUGGCUUUCUGGAAGACACGGAUCUGAAGGGAGCUAGUUGGACAGUGCAGAACCAAGAUGAAAUAUAAAAUGCCUAUUUGGCACUUCUGUAAGCCCCAUCACAUUACGAUAUUUUAAAUAUCAACAACCUGGGAGAACAUCAAAAUCAUUCUAAGUUACUGCUUCUUGUUUAAGCUUUCUGUCGGUCUUGUAUAUGUUAAGCAUUUCUUUUAUGUAGAGGAAAUAAA
This is a long non-coding RNA of Vombatus ursinus (common wombat), 887 nucleotides long. RefSeq lists it as uncharacterized. The record is from RefSeq and is a predicted model, not a curated record. Lineage: Eukaryota; Metazoa; Chordata; Mammalia; Diprotodontia; Vombatidae. The transcript is spliced from 4 exons.